CCUACGAGAUGGGGAUAACUAUUAGAAAUAGUAGCUAAUACCGAAUAAAGUCAAUUGAGUUGUCAAUUGAUGAAAGGAAGCCUUUAAAGCUUCGCUUGUAGAUGAGUCUGCGUCUUAUUAGCUAGUUGGUAGGGUAAGGGCCUACCAAGGCUAUGAUAAGUAACCGGCCUGAGAGGGUGAUCGGUCACACUGGAACUGAGAUACGGUCCAGACUCCUACGGGAGGCAGCAGCUAAGAAUCUUCCGCAAUGGGCGAAAGCCUGACGGAGCGACACUGCGUGAACGAAGAAGGUCGAAAGAUUGUAAAGUUCUUUUAUAAAUGAGGAAUAAACUUUGU
Molecule: ribosomal RNA, 336 nt
Filed under: uncultured Borrelia sp.
Lineage: Bacteria; Pseudomonadati; Spirochaetota; Spirochaetia; Spirochaetales; Borreliaceae
Description: bacterial SSU rRNA
Rfam family: Bacterial small subunit ribosomal RNA
Source: RNAcentral